This 253-nucleotide ribosomal RNA is filed under the name uncultured Ktedonobacter sp. Its description in RNAcentral is "partial 16S ribosomal RNA". It matches the Rfam family "Bacterial small subunit ribosomal RNA", at positions 524 to 776 of the family's 1533-position model. Lineage: Bacteria; Bacillati; Chloroflexota; Ktedonobacteria; Ktedonobacterales; Ktedonobacteraceae. The record is from RNAcentral.
UACGUAGGGGGCGAGCGUUGUCCGGAGUUACUGGGCGUAAAGGGCAUGCAGGCGGUCGGAGGCGUUUCGGGUGACAGCGGGUGGCUUAACUACCCGAGUGUUCGAAAGACGCUCCGACUUGAGGACUCGAGAGGGACACGGAAUUCCGGGUGGAGUGGUGAAAUGCGUAGAGAUCCGGAGGAACACCGAAGGCGAAGGCAGUGUCCUGGCGAGUGACUGACGCUGAGGUGCGAAAGCUAGGGGAGCGAACGGG